CAAGUUUGAUCCUGGCUCAGAUUGAACGCUGGCGGCAUGCUUUACACAUGCAAGUCGAACGGCAGCGCGGGGAGCUUGCUCCCUGGCGGCGAGUGGCGCACGGGUGAGUAAUACAUCGGAACGUGUCUUCUAGUGGGGGAUAACUGCCCGAAAGGGCAGCUAAUACCGCAUGAGACCUGAGGGUGAAAGCGGGGGAUCGCAAGACCUCGCGCUGGAAGAGCGGCCGAUGUCCGAUUAGCUA
Molecule: ribosomal RNA, 241 nt
Filed under: uncultured bacterium
Lineage: Bacteria
Description: partial 16S ribosomal RNA
Rfam family: Bacterial small subunit ribosomal RNA
Source: RNAcentral